Molecule: ribosomal RNA, 484 nt
Filed under: uncultured bacterium
Lineage: Bacteria
Description: partial 16S ribosomal RNA
Rfam family: Bacterial small subunit ribosomal RNA
Source: RNAcentral
AUUGAACGCUGGCGGCAGGCCUAACACAUGCAAGUCGAGCGGAUGAAGGGAGCUUGCUCCUGGAUUCAGCGGCGGACGGGUGAGUAAUGCCUAGGAAUCUGCCUGGUAGUGGGGUAUAACGUCCGGAAACGGGCGCUAAUACCGCAUACUUCCUGAGGGAGAAAGUGGGGGAUCUUCGGACCUCACGCUAUCAGAUGAGCCUAGGUCGGAUUAGCUAGUUGGUGGGGUAAAGGCCUACCAAGGCGACGAUCCGUAACUGGUCUGAGAGGAUGAUCAGUCACAUUGGAAGUGAGACACGGACCAGAGUCCUACGGGAGGCAGCAGUGGGGAAUAUUGGACAAUGGGCGAAAGCCUGAUCCAGCCAUGCCGCGUGUGUGGAGAAGGUCUUCGGAUUGUAAAGCACUUUAAGUUGUGAGGAAGGGCAGUAAGUUAAUACCUUGCUGUUUUGACGGUACCAGCAGAAUAAGCACCGGCUAACUUCGUG